GCAUCGCUGGGGAGUCCCACAAUAGGACGAAACGGCCGUCCAGUGC
Molecule: non-coding RNA, 46 nt
Filed under: Schistosoma mattheei
Lineage: Eukaryota; Metazoa; Platyhelminthes; Trematoda; Strigeidida; Schistosomatidae
Source: RNAcentral